GCUGGAAGGGCAUCCGCUGCGUAAAAAUUUGCUGGAUAAGUUGGCGGUUCAUUCCGCUGUGGCGACCCCAGAUUAAUAAAGGGACUAAGCUGACAAGAAAAUUAAUAUAUAUAUAUAUAUAUAUAUAUAUAUAUAUAUAUAUAUAUAUAUAUAUAUACACAUCAAGAAGGUCGCUCAAAAGCCUGAGCUGGCGUUUUAGGGUGCUCCGAGCGAGUCUUUGGUUAAUUCACUGAUUCAAAUGAUGAUGUCUGUUCAAGUCUCCAGAUAACAGCUAUCUGAUUCAAUCAACUGUUGUCAAAAGUAAAGCCAUUAUUACCAAAAGAGUUAAACCUUGUGAACAAAACUGUCUAAUGAUACUUUUGGGAAACAAAGUCUUCAGUUAAAAAGUCAAAGCAAGUCUCUUGUUUACAUCUCACCAAUUCAAGUGAUCAGGUCAGAGCAAGUCUCUAGCAAGGAUUCACUGAUUCAAAGCAUUCAGUCAGAGCGAGUGUCCAGUUAAUGACUCUUUGAAUCAAAGGAUUUAAUUGGUGUGAGUCUUCAGUUUACUGAUUCA
Molecule: long non-coding RNA, 553 nt
Filed under: Danio rerio (zebrafish)
Lineage: Eukaryota; Metazoa; Chordata; Actinopteri; Cypriniformes; Danionidae
Description: si:ch73-275m14.1 (ENSDARG00000097387.2)
Source: RNAcentral